This 252-nucleotide ribosomal RNA is filed under the name uncultured bacterium. RNAcentral describes it as "partial 16S ribosomal RNA". It matches the Rfam family "Bacterial small subunit ribosomal RNA", at positions 28 to 280 of the family's 1533-position model. The record is from RNAcentral.
GACGAACGCUGGCGGCGUGCCUAACACAUGCAAGUCGAACGGGACCAGGGGCAACUCUGGUUCAGUGGCGGACGGGUGCGUAACACGUGAGGAACAUGACCUUCGGCGGGGGAGUAGCCGGCCCAACGGCCGGGUAAUACCGCGUACGACCACAUGGGGACAUCCCUGAGUGGUGAAAGCAGCAAUGCGCCGAUGGAGUGCCUCGCGGCCUAUCAGCUAGUUGGUGAGGUAACGGCUCACCAAGGCGACGAC